Molecule: ribosomal RNA, 571 nt
Filed under: uncultured Spirochaetaceae bacterium
Lineage: Bacteria; Pseudomonadati; Spirochaetota; Spirochaetia; Spirochaetales; Spirochaetaceae
Description: bacterial SSU rRNA
Rfam family: Bacterial small subunit ribosomal RNA
Source: RNAcentral
GCGACGCCGCGUGGGUGAUGAAGGCCGUGAGGUUGUAAAGCCCUUUUCUGUCUGAGGAAUAAGCCUGGGAGGGAAUGCCCGGGUGAUGACGGUAAGACAGGAAUAAGCCCCGGCUAAUUACGUGCCAGCAGCCGCGGUAACACGUAUGGGGCGAGCGUUGUUCGGAAUUAUUGGGCGUAAAGGGCGCGUAGGCGGAUACGCAAGUCUGGUGUGAAAGACCGCAGCUUAACUGCGGGAGCGCGCUGGAAACUGCAUAUCUUGAAUCCUUGAGGGGAAACUGGAAUUCCUGGUGUAGGGGUGAAAUCUGUAGAGAUCAGGAAGAACAUCAGUGGCGAAGGCGAGUUUCUGGCAAGUGAUUGACGCUGAGGCGCGAAAGCGUGGGGAGCAAACAGGAUUAGAUACCCUGGUAGUCCACGCUGUAAACGAUGUGCACUAGGUGUUGGGGUGUUGAAACCUCAGUACCGGAGCUAACGUGGUAAGUGCACCGCCUGGGGAGUAUGCCGGCAACGGUGAAACUCAAAGGAAUUAACGGGGGCCCGCACAAGCGGUGGAGCAUGUGGUUUAAUUCGAU